This 467-nucleotide ribosomal RNA is filed under the name uncultured bacterium. RNAcentral describes it as "partial 16S ribosomal RNA". It matches the Rfam family "Bacterial small subunit ribosomal RNA", at positions 29 to 507 of the family's 1533-position model. The record is from RNAcentral.
AUGAACGCUGGCGGCGUGCUUAACCCAUGCAAGUCGAACGGAAAGGCCCAAGCUUGCUUGGGUACUCGAGUGGCGAACGGGUGAGUAACACGUGGGUGAUCUGCCCUGCACUUCGGGAUAAGCCUGGGAAACUGGGUCUAAUACUGGAUAGGACCACUUCUUGGAUGGUGUGGUGGAAAGUUUUUUCGGUGUGGGAUGAGCUCGCGGCCUAUCAGCUUGUUGGUGGGGUAAUGGCCUACCAAGGCGUCGACGGGUAGCCGGCCUGAGAGGGUGUACGGCCACAUUGGGACUGAGAGACGGCCCAGACUCCUACGGGAGGCAGCAGUGGGGAAUAUUGCACAAUGGGCGCAAGCCUGAUGCAGCGACGCCGCGUGGGGGAUGACGGCCUUCGGGUUGUAAACUCCUUUCGCUAGGGACGAAGCGUUUUUGUGACGGUACCUGGAGAAGAAGCACCGGCUAACUACGUG